Molecule: ribosomal RNA, 387 nt
Filed under: uncultured bacterium
Lineage: Bacteria
Description: bacterial SSU rRNA
Rfam family: Bacterial small subunit ribosomal RNA
Source: RNAcentral
AUUGAACGCUGGCGGCAUGCCUUACACAUGCAAGUCGAACGGCAGCACGGGAGCAAUCCUGGUGGCGAGUGGCGAACGGGUGAGUAAUAUAUCGGAACGUGCCCAGUCGUGGGGGAUAACGUAGCGAAAGCUACGCUAAUACCGCAUACGAUCUAUGGAUGAAAGCGGGGGAUCGCAAGACCUCGCGCGAUUGGAGCGGCCGAUAUCAGAUUAGGUAGUUGGUGAGGUAAAGGCUCACCAAGCCGACGAUCUGCAGCUGGUCUGAGAGGACGACCAGCCACACUGGGACUGAGACACGGCCCAGACUCCUACGGGAGGCAGCAGUGGGGAAUUUUGGACAAUGGGCGCAAGCCUGAUCCAGCAAUGCCGCGUGCAGGAUGAAGGCCU